This 242-nucleotide unclassified non-coding RNA is filed under the name Schizothyrium inaequale. RNAcentral's name for it is "partial contains 5.8S ribosomal RNA, internal transcribed spacer 2, and large subunit ribosomal RNA". The record is from RNAcentral. Lineage: Eukaryota; Fungi; Ascomycota; Dothideomycetes; Mycosphaerellales; Schizothyriaceae.
CGCACAUUGCGCCCGCUGGUAUUCCGGCGGGCAUGCCCGUUCGAGCGUCAUUACACCCCUCAAGCCUGGCUUGGUUUUGGGCGUCGCGGCUACCCCGCGCGCCUCAAAGUCCCCCGGCUGCGCGACCCGCCCGGAGCGUUGUGACAACGAUCGCUUUUAGGGAGAGCGUGUGGCCGAAGGCACACAGUGUAAAACAUUUUCAGGUUGACCUCGGAUCGGGUAGGGAUACCCGCUGAACUUAA